This is a non-coding RNA of Camellia sinensis, 525 nucleotides long. Lineage: Eukaryota; Viridiplantae; Streptophyta; Magnoliopsida; Ericales; Theaceae. The record is from RefSeq and is a predicted model, not a curated record.
AAAUUUUUCCGGUUCCGGCAGCACCCCAUGCCAGUUCCUCUCCCUUCUCCUCAUAUUCUCCUCCUCCAUUUUUCACACAAAAAACAAGUUCAGGUAAUGGGUCAUCUUGUGGGAUGAGAUUGCCUCCAACAUACCCAUAUUCUUCUCUAAUCUUGAACUUUGAAGGGGUUGUUAUUGCUGCUGGUUUGGCAAGUUUUGUGGUUCAGUUUCUUCUGGUCACUGGAAAUUGAUGGUGCUAUGUGGGUCUUAUCUACAAGGUGGAUAUCCUGAGCCAGAUGUCUUUGAUGCAUCUAAUGGAUUGUGAAGUCCAGGCUAACGUUUGUCUGUGGUUUGUGUUGGAUGGUGUCUUAGCUUCUGUUAUGUUUGUGCCUUUCAUUGUUCACAAUGCUUUUGUUAGUUCUGCUUUAGGUUGAUGAUUUGUUUGUUAGUGUUUCUGUUGUUCGGUUUGUUACCGUCUUGUACUUGGGAUGUACUGUUCCCUCUUGUAUUUCCAUGUUUAUUGAAAUGAAAUAUGAUGUUCUUUUU